This 468-nucleotide ribosomal RNA is filed under the name uncultured bacterium. RNAcentral's name for it is "partial 16S ribosomal RNA". It matches the Rfam family "Bacterial small subunit ribosomal RNA", at positions 28 to 507 of the family's 1533-position model. The record is from RNAcentral.
GACGAACGCUGGCGGCGUGCUUAACACAUGCAAGUCGAACGGAAAGGCCCUGCUUUUGUGGGGUGCUCGAGUGGCGAACGGGUGAGUAACACGUGAGUAACCUGCCCUUGACUUUGGGAUAACUUCUGGAAACUGGGGCUAAUACCUGAUAGGAGCUCCUGCUGCAUGGUGGGGGUUGGAAAGUUUCGGCGGUUGGGGAUGGACUCGCGGCUUAUCAGCUUGUUGGUGGGGUAGUUGCUUACCAAGGCUUUGACGGGUAGCCGGAAUGAGAGGGUGACCGGCAAAAAUGGGACUGAGAUACGGACCAGACUGCAACGGGAGGCAGGAGGGGGGAAUAUUGCAAAAUGGGAGGAAGCGUGAUGAAGAAAAGGAGGGAGCGGGAUGACGGCCUUCGGGUUGUAAAAAGCUUUCGCCUGUGACGAAGAGUGAGUGACGGUAAUGGGUAAAGAAGCACCGGCUAACUACGUG